This is a long non-coding RNA of Mya arenaria, 4615 nucleotides long. RefSeq lists it as uncharacterized. The record is from RefSeq and is a predicted model, not a curated record. Lineage: Eukaryota; Metazoa; Mollusca; Bivalvia; Myida; Myidae. The transcript has 6 exons.
GACAACUGGGCCGACCAGAACUUCCCUCCAAUAUUUAUUGAAAGUAUAGAUUAUAUGGUGAGACUGGUGGCAUCUUAAGGCAUGUGACCACUGAUUGCAUGGUGCCCAACAGCCAGCCGGUGGUGUUCGAGUUUAAUGGCUGAGCAUCUUCAUGGACUUUCGAUUCGGGAGAGUAUUAUUUUGACUUGUAAUACUCAGUUAUACGUUUUGUACGGUGCAUGAAGAAAUUUGUGAGGCAUCAAGUUGCCACUUUAUCCGUCUGUCUUGCUUUUCCUGUCUGGGCUACACAUGUAUUUCCAAAUUAGUUUGAAUUGUGUAAUUGUCAUUUUAAAGUUACAGGUGAUGCACACACAUUUAUUGACAGCAUUUACUGCCUAGAAUAGCCCUCUGGUUAUCUUGGAAUGCCCCCCCCCCCAUUCCCUAAGGUCCCAGUUUACUUAUUAUGUGAAUAAUAAAGAAAAAAAAUAAUGAAAUACGCUCAAAAGGCACUAUUUCGGACUAGAAGUUGUGACUUUUUUUUGGGGGGGAGGGGAUAUAAACCCCAUAGUCCCUGCCAGCAUUUGGCGAGAUUUAAAUUUUGGUUCUGAGGGAGGAGCAAAUGUCAUAAAUUUGUGCCCUUAAGUUACACCCCCUCUUAUUUCAAUUCCUGGACCUGUCCCUGGUCUGCCAGACCAUUUUUAAAGAAGUCUUGUUAGUAAUUAUCUCACAUCAUCGAAACACAUGUUUUGGUCAAACAUUCUCCAGAGUUACUUAUUUUUGAUGUGUUUUUCUUCUUUUUUCAUAAUUCGGGGAACAUGACUGCCUAAUAAGCUUCAAGAGUUAUGGCCUUUGGUUUCCAUAAAUAUGUUUUUUCAUGAAAGAUAUGGUUAUUAUACCUGUAAAUGGAGUGAAGCGACUAAAUCAGGGAUAAGGAUAGAUACACAUCUAGAGUUAGGAAAAGUAAUAGCUUUUUAUGUAUAAAGAUAAAUGUUCAAAGGUGUCAGUUCACAACGAAAUGCUUCCGGGUCGUUGAAUCCCUUCAAGUAGUUCUUAAAACAAUGCUUCUCCCAUCUUAGGUAGCAUUUGAUAAUGUGUUGAACAGUUCAAUAUUGCAGGUGAGGCAGCAGACUCAUGGCCAGCAGUUUAAAGAAAUCCAACUUGAAUAGUUCAGGGCAGAAGAAAAUAAAUCCAUUAAACAGCUUGAUGACCAUCCCAAACAAGCCUCUGAAACUGUGCUCAAGACAGCUGAUGAAAUUGACAAGACUUGUGACGAAGGUACUACAACAAUCCCUAACAGUUCCGGAACACCGAUCCAGAGUGAGACAGCUGCUGUUAAAGCCCUCAUAAUACUGUCAAAGCUAUCCACCGGGUUGGCAGAUGGGGCCCAGCCCAAAUCCUGAGACUGAAAAGACAGAGGGUGUAGGAAGCUUCUUUGGGUGACCCUCUACAAAAAUACAACAAGAGGUCACGAUUGAUCAACAACAACAACAACAACUGUCUAUGACCAACUACAUGUCAACUUCCCAAUAAAAGUAUAUAAGCAGUGUUUUUCUUCACAUAUCUCAGGAACCCUACCACCAGCCAAAAGAGACUUAUGGAAUUUGGAGAAAGAAGGCAGAGGACCUGUUGAGUUGGAAGAAAAGGCUGGAUAGCGAGGAGAACAGGUCAUUCAAGCUGGAGAAAAGGGCUUUUUAAGGACAGAUGAGCCUCGUGACAUCACUACGACCAACAGCUACAGUAACGGGACGUUUAAAGACACUCGCUCACAGUCACAACCAUCCACACCAAAAUCUCUAGCAGGAACAAAAGAAAGAUAAAAACAUAUUUUCUAUCAACUUGGCUCUACAACUUGCUUUUACUGAAUUUUCUUUGCAGUCAUCUCCCUUGAUGAAAAAGAAGACCUAUGUCACAACAAAGGGAAAGUACUGAGUGUUAUUGCCAUUUUCUCUGUCUGUCUGGCCGUCCGGCUGGCCGUCCGUCUUUUCGUCCAUCUGUCACACCCUUGUAGAGGCAUAACUUCAAAAAAAAACAACCUUGUCUACAGAUAGAUAGCAAUGAGAGGAAGUCAGUGCAAAUGAACCAUAAUCUUGCUGUGCAUAUUGAUUAAGUUAUUCCCCCUUUUUCAUAAUUGAUGCCUGCACACUCUUUGUUCUGAGAAUAAUAUCAAGACAACUGAUGGGAUUGAAAUAAAACUUGGCAUAUAUCUAUAUAGAUGGCAUUGAUAAGGGAGUGCAGUGCACAAGAAUCAUAAUCAAAUCAUGCAUCUUUAUAAAGUUAUUUCCCCUUGACCAUUUAAAAUAUAGAUAGAUGGCAAUGAGUGGAAGUGUGGUGCAUCAGAACCAUAAUCUUGUCCUGCAUAUGAUUUUUAGUUAUAUUCCUUUAAUUACCUCCCCAUAACCAUAUUGUUCAAUAAAGGGGUUGAAAUGAAACUUAAAAUGUAGAUAGAUGGAAAUUAAAUGAAGUGUAGUAUCCAAGAAUUAUAAUCCUAUACUUCAUAUAUGGGUGCUUGUCCAGGUCAUAUUUUGGAAUGUAUUGGAGGGAUUCAAAUGAAGAAACUUGGUAUAGAAAUAAAUGACAAUGACAGCAGGUGUAGUACCAAGAAAAAUGAUUCUGCCCUGUAUAUUUAUUUAGUUAUCUCCCCUAGGCCUGAUAUUUUUCCAUAACAGACGUUGUUCAGGCCAUUUCUUGAAAUGUUCUAUAGUGGUACAAAUGAAACUUGGUAUAAAGAUAGAUGGCCUAUGGCAUUAUAAAAUGUUGCACAUAUCUUUCCAUGUUAAGAUUUUUUCCAACCUCUGUAUAAUAAUAAUACAACCAUUCACCUUCUUCCAGCACAUUGUAUUACAAGUUCUGCCUUUUCAUUGAAAAUGGGCAUAUGGGGAGCAUCCAUUGCUUUCUGCGAUACUCUGUUGAAAUAUUGUUUACCAAAGAACUGGGUUUUUUUCACUUUGUGAUGAUGUUAUAUCAUUAUUAUUCAUAUUUUACAAUAAAGUAGUAUAUAAAAGGUGAGCGAGUCCCUUGAAAUGUAUGUUAGUCCAACUUCUGUUGGUAAAAUUUAAUUAUAUUAACCAUUAAAAUAUGAUGUCAGGAAAAUAUUUACACUUGUACUAGAUAUUAUUUUACCAAUCACAAAUAGAAAAAUAAAAUGUAGCAAAUUCUUUUUGUAAUCUGAUAUAAAAAAUAUAAAAUGUUUUAUCUAAUUUUCAGAUUUGAUGUGCCCUCCUUGGUAUUGACCAUUUCCCACCUGCUAUGAGCAUCAACCACAAACAGUGAUGUGCCCUCCAUGGAAUUGACCACCUGCUAUGAGCAUCAACUACAUGUUCAAGCAGUGUCAUUUGUUUAUUUAGACAAUGUAUCUUGAUUGUUAUGUUGAAUAAAUUGAAGCAGUCUCCCAGCAAAAGGCUGGGAGAUAUGGUGCUGGAUGAGCCAUACCAUACAUUGUAUGACAGGCCAUCGAAUCUGUAUACGUAGUUAGGUGGAAUAGCUGGUCUUUAGAAACGUACUCAACUGUGCCCAGGAUGACCUCUUCUGUCGUCCCUCAUAUACCCAUAGAGGCAACCAUUUUAGAUCAAUUCUUUCACAAAUUGGUUAGAAUGGAUGCUUGAUAUAAUGUGGGCUUAAAAACUAGGUUGCAUGGUCAAUUUUCAUAACUUUGUGAGAUUAUCGGAAUGUAUGCAUUAAUUAAAUGUUUAUUAAGUUCCAAUGAGUCACUAGAACAAAAUCUAUAGUCGUAUCUACGCAAUAGUGGUCACAAUGUGUGGAAGUGGUCCAGCUAGGCCUAUAUAGGACAUGCAUUAUUAAUAUUAUUUUCUAGCAGACCUUAAAUUACUUUAUUGUGAAAAAAAUGACGCAUUUUUGUACAUUGCACCAAAAAAAGUGCGUGCGAUGAUGUUUACUGACGUCGUGACGCGCAGUAAUUUUUAUUCACUGCAAACGUCAAGAAGGUCCUUCAAUAUAACGUCUUUUACAGGUUAUUUUGAUUUGUUCUGUAAUAAAAUAUAAAAACAUAAUUGAGUCACGGCGCGUGUCUCAUCUACCUUGCGGGUGCUAUAGUAUUCCAGCACGGCUGAAUUCACCGGAAAUGCCUAUCCGGUGUGCUAGAAUUGUGGUCUUCUCUUUCUGAAAGACGCCUUAUUGCUGAUUAAAAAAACUUUUUUACGUCUUUUAAGAACAAAAAUUGGUCUACUAAACAAUUCAAUUAAAUAAUUUCCUUUAAAACAUUUAUUCCCAACAUAUUUAGAAUUGGCAUCACUCAAAUUUAAUAACCUGUUUUGAUUAUUCAUAAAUAUAUCCACUACGAAUUGAUGAAUGUUUUACAUUUAAAAUCGAUUUAAAUGUGUAGUAAUGUAUACAUACAUCAAUAUUUAAAAUAAACUAUUGAGAUGUGUUUUCUUUGGACAGGCCUGCUUCUUUAAAGAUGAAACGUCGGUGAAUUGCUGAAACACACCAACGUGCACAAGUUUUCUAACACUAAUACCUGCGAUUCACUGAUAUAAAAUUAAUCUUUCAUAUUCACAUAAAUAGGUGAGUAUGCAUAUACAUGUGAUAACCAAGGGAGGAAGAUGGGCAUUCAGCAAAAUUGAAAUUAUUAUUUCUGUGUGUAUUUGCUUAUGAAUAAAUGUAUGAUUUGUGAAAUUAU